CAAGCUUAAAGUGGUUGAAUACCAAAAAUAGCAUGAUGAAGAAAUAGAGGAAGAGAAAAUUAUUAAGAAUAAAUUGACAAAGUCUACAUAAGCUUAAAGUGCCACAAGCUUAAAGUGGUUGAAUACCAUGCUGAAAAGUUGCAUGAAGAAGAAAUAGAGGAAGAGAAACAAGAAUAGAGCAAACUCCUUCACAGUUUUAUCAAAUAAACAAUCUAGUCUAUUUGAUGUAGAGCAUGUUAACAAGAAAGGAGCAAAUUUAUUUGUUGGGAAUACUUUUUGUGAAUAAUUGCAAAUCCAGGGCUGUGAUAAAAGGAAUGAUGAUGGUGCGAGUUUUGGUCCAUAUAAACAAAAGAGUAUGGCUAUAGCCUGUACUAGCCAAUAAUUUGGCAAAACCCCUGUAAGGGUUCCACACAUUUGAGGCAUAAAUCAGUGUAUGACCUAUUGGAUUUCAAAUCAGGGUUUGACUUGAAAUCAUUGGAAAGUGCUUGAAAUUGAGAAGAUGGUGUCUUUGGUUGUAUUUGAUUGGGUUCUAAGCAUUAGGAUUAUGGAAAGUGAAUUAGGAAUGCUGAGGAUUGAAAGGAGUUGAAGAGGUUGUCGUGCAGCCAUAGAAUGAGGCAUGGCAGAAAAGAAAGAGGAUGAGGAGGGUUUUGAGAAUGCACCCAGGGUAGUAAAGGGGUGGUAAGAGGUCCAGAGGAAGAAGAGGUGGAAAUGUUGUAUACAUGCUAAGUUCAUUUAAGCUAUCAGGGAAUCAGCCCCUAGGGCAAUAACGGCUUUCUUCACCAUUGCAGUUAGUGAAGAAAGGAUUGUCAAUACUUUGUUCACAGUGUUGUUUAGAAGAAGAGGAUGUAAAAAACCUUGUUGCUUUGCAAUAUUGAUAGGAGAUGGCUUUUUUAUGGUCAUUCUCACAAAUAGUGUCAAAUUGUGAGGGCAAAAUAAUUCUCCUGACAAUGAUAGAAAUUAGUAGGAAAAAUAUCUUUUAUAACUAGAAGAGUUAUAGCAUAGGAAACACAUCCUUUAUAACUAGAAGAGUUAUAGUAUAUAAAAACUCUCUCCCAAGUCUAUUUGAAGAUUCAUCAUUUGUCUCCGAUGGAAUAACCAACUAUAAAUUACAUGGGAUAUGAGAUAAUGGGGAUAUAACUAUUAGAGCAUAGUUAAAAAAUAGUGGAAUCAAAUCUAAAGAUAGUGAGGAUCAGAUGCAGUUAUAUUGUUGUAGUUAUCCUCUUAGUACUCAGAUAUAUUGCAUUUUUGUCUUUUGCCUUGUUGGACUCUUGGUUUCCUUGGACUCACAUUUUGCAAAGUUAUGUAUACAACAUUGAUUUCAAUUUUAUAAAAAAGUCAUUAAUAAAAAAGCCCCCCCUUCACUUGCUAAUGAUGGUCAGAUAUGAAUUACCACCAGACUAGAGCUCAUAUGCAGUGAGUAGUGCGGUUAUUUGUUCUCCCUUGUGCCAGCCUUGUUCCCGCAUGUUUACUUAGAAAUUGAUGAAACCUCUCUAAUGCUUAUGUGAAUGUCUCACAUUGCCGAUGCUUUGUAAUUUCACUGCAGGAGAACAGAAAAUGAAUAAACUUCCAGCUAUCAAAUUGACUAGUGAACAAAAAGGUUUCAGCUAACAAAUUGAAACAACAGGCGGUCAAGGCUUCCUACGAACAUGAAAGGCAAAAAUAUGCUGAAACUUCUCAAUCAAUACCUUCUUAUUCUUGCCCAAAUGGGGGUAUUAUUUCUUCUCAUUAUUUUCCUUGUUAAUUUGGUUACAAUUGAAGUGCAUUGCAUUAGAAUUGAGUCCAUAGUUUUGAUUCUUAUUCCAUUGGUUUUGAACUUUGAAGUUUAUUUAGACAGUGUAACUUGUCCAAAAGAAAAACAGUGGAAAGUUCAAAAUUCUGAACCAUGUUUACUUCAUCCUGGAGAUCCUCCUAGAAGACUAAUUUUCACCCAAAUGAUUAGAUGUUGUCAAAUAUUAUUUGACUAUGUGGCUUAUUUCUACAGGUGCGGCCUUAUAAACUGUGGAUUGAAAUGGAAAAUAUUGAGAAAGGGAUUGUAGAAACCAUUGCUCAGAAUAAUAUAAAAUGGCUUGUUAUGGGAGCUGCAGCAGAUAAAUAUUAUUCAAAGUAUUAACCAUCUAUUACAAGUUCUUAUUGUUGACUGCAUUGAUUUAUUUGAUAUUGUUGUAGAAUUACUCGAGGCUUCCAGCCUAGGCAUUUGGGAUAAAAGUUUUGUUGAAUUUAGUGGAAUUUCUUGAAGCUUCUACAAGAAUUAUCCAAUAUUAGUGCACAAGUAUUGUUGCUCUGUAGGAGGCCUUUUGAUGUAGCCUAGUCGGUUAUAAAUUGCUAUGAAGAUUAACCCAAUUUUAAGUCAUAAAAGAUCAGCUCCUUGUAGUGCUAUACUUUUCUUUUCAGCAUUUGAGGAAUUAAAUUGGCAGACAUAUCUUUUCAAUAUAUUUCUCAGGCAGUUGAUAAAGUUAGGUUAUUUCUUUUGUGUUAGAAUCAAUGUUGCUCUGGCGCUUCAAAAUAUGUGAUACAUGUAGAGGGUUAUGGAUUGUGAGCUAUCAAUGGGAGCAUCCAUCAAAGAAAAGAGGAACACAUUCCUAGUAUACAGGAAGUUCCACAGUAUACUUUCUUAAUUUGUUCCUCUUUUGAAUGAUAUCUCAAAACAAGCAAAGCACUCACAUUGCAUAUGCUAUGUUGUUUUAACAAAUCAUUUACCCAAGCUAUGAAAAAAAAAAACAAAAGGAAAAUUGGAUGCUUUGAUAAUUUAGCCAUGUCUUUAUAUUUGAGGAUUAGAUGAAUUGAUACCUAAACACAUUGGAGAUUGAUCAAACUUAUGUAUCUUAUUGUGAACCUUUUAUAUCAUUGCCUUCUAACUAGAUAACUUCAUCCUCUUAGUUAUUUAAUAUUUUAGAAGUACGUAUUCUUUAAAAGAAUUUGAAGACUGUAGCAUGUAACAGCAUGAUUGAGAAUGAAAAUUUCAGCAAAAGGAAGAAAAGGCUUAUUUAAAGUUAAGUCGCUUGUUGUCGUGAUUUUAACUCAAGGCAUUAGCUUUGGUAUGUGCCUGUGCAAUUAAUUAUAAUUAAGGUAUUGUUUUUAGGCUGAUAACAUUAAAAUGCCCUGAUAACCUUAAAAUGUGCAGAUAUCAAAAUAGGUAAAACUUAUACCAAUUUAAUUGAACUUGCAUUUGCUUUCAGUUUCUAAAUUUACUGAUCCAGACUCAUGAAGAUUGCAGGAAAAUGGUUGAGGUCAAGUCAUUCAGAGAAAAAGGUGGAGCCUGAGGCAUCUUUUGAAAUUUUGACCAACCCAGCGUGGGUGGUUCCUUCUGAGGAGAAGUUCAUUAAAUUUCUGGAAGAAAGCAGAUAUGUCCCAGGGGAAAAACUCAAAAAGAAAGAAAAAAAUGUGCAUUUGUGUUGAGCUAGUACAACAUGAAUAGAUUUUGUGACUCUUUUGUAUUAGUGAACUAUGUUUUGUUCUUCACUUACCUUACCACCCCCUUCCCCACAUUUCUCAGAUGUAAAAUAAUGUUCUCAAAUUUCUCCCUCAUUGUAACUGUGUAAAUGUGGAUCUAAUUGAAAUCGGCCUUGUUUGUUUCAAUCCAGUAGCUUGAUUUUUCUUCCUGUCUUU
This is a long non-coding RNA of Vitis vinifera (wine grape), 3606 nucleotides long. RefSeq lists it as uncharacterized. The record is from RefSeq and is a predicted model, not a curated record. The transcript is spliced from 2 exons. Lineage: Eukaryota; Viridiplantae; Streptophyta; Magnoliopsida; Vitales; Vitaceae.